RNAcentral lists this transfer RNA (65 nucleotides) under Staphylinidae sp. 1 EF-2015. Its description in RNAcentral is "tRNA-Gly". Lineage: Eukaryota; Metazoa; Arthropoda; Insecta; Coleoptera; Staphylinidae. The record is from RNAcentral.
AUUUGUAUAGUAUAACUCUUAUUUUUAAUUUCCAAUUAAAAGAUCUAAAUAAUUUAGUACAAAUA